This 261-nucleotide ribosomal RNA is filed under the name Anopheles funestus (African malaria mosquito). Its description in RNAcentral is "eukaryotic large subunit ribosomal RNA". It matches the Rfam family "Eukaryotic large subunit ribosomal RNA", at positions 2545 to 2815 of the family's 3401-position model. The record is from RNAcentral. Lineage: Eukaryota; Metazoa; Arthropoda; Insecta; Diptera; Culicidae.
GCUUGGCUCGAAGACAUCUGAAUAAACCUCUCGGUCCACGUCAAUGGACAGUGCCAGGAUGCGGAGUUUGACUGGGGCGGUACAUCUCCAAACGAUAACGGAGGUGUCCAAAGGUCAGCUCAGAGUGGACAGAAACCACCCGUUGAGCAUAAGGACAAAAGCUGGUUUGAUCCUAACGUUCAGUACACGCCGGGACAGCGAAAGCUUGGCCUUACGAUCCUUUUGGUAUAACGAGUUUUUAGCAAGAGGUGUCAGAAAAGU